UCGUAACAAGGUUUCCGUAGGUGAACCUGCGGAAGGAUCAUUACCGAGUGAGGGCCCUCUGGGUCCAACCUCCCACCCGUGUCUAUCGUACCUUGUUGCUUCGGCGGGCCCGCCGUUUCGACGGCCGCCGGGGAGGCCUCGCGCCCCCGGGCCCGCGCCCGCCGAAGACCCCAACAUGAACGCUGUUCUGAAAGUAUGCAGUCUGAGUUGAUUAUCAUAAUCAGUUAAAACUUUCAACAACGGAUCUCUUGGUUCCGGCAUCGAUGAAGAACGCAGCGAAAUGCGAUAAGUAAUGUGAAUUGCAGAAUUCAGUGAAUCAUCGAGUCUUUGAACGCACAUUGCGCCCCCUGGUAUUCCGGGGGGCAUGCCUGUCCGAGCGUCAUUGCUGCCCUCAAGCACGGCUUGUGUGUUGGGCCCCCGUCCCCUCUCCCGGGGACGGGCCCGAAAGGCAGCGGCGGCACCGCGUCCGGUCCUCGAGCGUAUGGGGCUUUGUCACCCGCUCUGUAGGCCCGGCCGGCGCCAGCCGACACCCAACUUUAUUUCUAAGGUUGACCUCGGAUCAGGUAGGGAUACCCGCUGAACUUAAGCAUAUCAAUAA
RNAcentral lists this unclassified non-coding RNA (598 nucleotides) under Aspergillus fischeri. RNAcentral's name for it is "sequence contains 18S rRNA gene, ITS1, 5.8S rRNA gene, ITS2, 28S rRNA gene". The stretch from base 229 to 382 matches the Rfam family "5.8S ribosomal RNA". Lineage: Eukaryota; Fungi; Ascomycota; Eurotiomycetes; Eurotiales; Aspergillaceae. The record is from RNAcentral.